This 402-nucleotide ribosomal RNA is filed under the name uncultured bacterium. RNAcentral's name for it is "bacterial SSU rRNA". It matches the Rfam family "Bacterial small subunit ribosomal RNA", at positions 30 to 432 of the family's 1533-position model. The record is from RNAcentral.
AUUGAACGCUGGCGGCAUGCCUUACACAUGCAAGUCGAACGGCAGCACGGGAGCAAUCCUGGUGGCGAGUGGCGAACGGGUGAGUAAUAUAUCGGAACGUGCCCAGUCGUGGGGGAUAACGUAGCGAAAGCUACGCUAAUACCGCAUACGAUCUAUGGAUGAAAGCGGGGGAUCGCAAGACCUCGCGCGAUUGGAGUGGCCGAUAUCAGAUUAGGUAGUUGGUGGGGUAAAAGCCUACCAAGCCUUCGAUCUGUAGCUGGUCUGAGAGGACGACCAGCCACACUGGAACUGAGACACGGUCCAGACUCCUACGGGAGGCAGCAGUGGGGAAUUUUGGACAAUGGGCGCAAGCCUGAUCCAGCAAUGCCGCGUGCAGGAUGAAGGCCUUCGGGUUGUAAACUG